UACUCAUAUUUAGCGCCAGAACCAUAGUGGUUGACGAGGUUAACAGUUAUCGAUUUUUCGGCGGGUGCUGUUACGGAUAAGUAGUUCGUUAGAAGUAUUACAAAAAGUAAAAUCAAUAUUACAACAAAAUAUACUUCAUACUAAAUU
RNAcentral lists this non-coding RNA (147 nucleotides) under Clostridium sp. RNAcentral's name for it is "GlcN6P sequence". It matches the Rfam family "glmS glucosamine-6-phosphate activated ribozyme aptamer". Rfam says of the family: This entry contains a glucosamine-6-phosphate activated ribozyme that is found in the mRNA for GlmS. GlmS is an enzyme that uses fructose-6-phosphate and glutamine to generate glucosamine-6-phosphate. Lineage: Bacteria; Bacillati; Bacillota; Clostridia; Eubacteriales; Clostridiaceae. The record is from RNAcentral.